This 493-nucleotide ribosomal RNA is filed under the name uncultured bacterium. RNAcentral describes it as "partial 16S ribosomal RNA". It matches the Rfam family "Bacterial small subunit ribosomal RNA", at positions 29 to 523 of the family's 1533-position model. The record is from RNAcentral.
AUUGAACGCUGGCGGCAUGCCUUACACAUGCAAGUCGAACGGUAACAGGUUAAGCUGACGAGUGGCGAACGGGUGAGUAAUACAUCGGAACGUGCCCAGUAGUGGGGGAUAGCCCGGCGAAAGCCGGAUUAAUACCGCAUACGACCUACGGGUGAAAGGGGGGGAUCGCAAGACCCCUCGCUAUUGGAGCGGCCGAUGUCAGAUUAGGUAGUUGGUGGGGUAAAAGCCUACCAAGCCGACGAUCUGUAGCUGUGCUGAGAGGACGACCAGCCACACGGGGACUGAGACACGGCGCAGACUCCUACGGGAGGCAGCAGUGGGGAAUUUUGGACAAUGGGCGCAAGCCUGAUCCAGCCAUGCCGCGGGCGGGAAGAAGGCCUUCGGGUUGUAAACCGCUUUUGUCAGGGAAGAAACGCUCUGGGUUAAUACCCUGGGGUAAUGACGGUACCUGAAGAAUAAGCACCGGCUAACUACGUGCCAGCCGCCGCCGUAA